This is a transfer RNA of Aspergillus versicolor CBS 583.65, 72 nucleotides long. It matches the Rfam family "tRNA". From Rfam's summary of the family: Transfer RNA (tRNA) molecules are approximately 80 nucleotides in length. Their secondary structure includes four short double-helical elements and three loops (D, anti-codon, and T loops). NCBI's taxonomy places the organism in Eukaryota, Fungi, Ascomycota, Eurotiomycetes, Eurotiales, Aspergillaceae. The record is from Rfam.
GCCCGCGUGGCGUAAUGGAAACGCGUUCGACUUCUAAUCGAAAGAUUGCGGGUUCGACCCCCGCCGUGGGUU